This 472-nucleotide ribosomal RNA is filed under the name uncultured bacterium. RNAcentral describes it as "bacterial SSU rRNA". It matches the Rfam family "Bacterial small subunit ribosomal RNA", at positions 355 to 825 of the family's 1533-position model. The record is from RNAcentral.
UGGGGAAUUUUGGACAAUGGGCGAAAGCCUGAUCCAGCAAUGCCGCGUGCAGGAAGAAGGCCUUCGGGUUGUAAACUGCUUUUGUACGGAACGAAAAGGCUCUUUCUAAUAAAGAGGGCCCAUGACGGUACCGUAAGAAUAAGCACCGGCUAACUACGUGCCAGCAGCCGCGGUAAUACGUAGGGUGCGAGCGUUAAUCGGAAUUACUGGGCGUAAAGCGUGCGCAGGCGGUUCUAUAAGACAGAUGUGAAAUCCCCGGGCUCAACCUGGGAACUGCAUUUGUGACUGUAUAGCUAGAGUACGGUAGAGGGGGAUGGAAUUCCGCGUGUAGCAGUGAAAUGCGUAGAUAUGCGGAGGAACACCGAUGGCGAAGGCAAUCCCCUGGACCUGUACUGACGCUCAUGCACGAAAGCGUGGGGAGCAAACAGGAUUAGAUACCCCCGUAGUCCCUGAGCGGGCUGGCAAGGCGCAU